RNAcentral lists this ribosomal RNA (253 nucleotides) under uncultured bacterium. RNAcentral's name for it is "partial 16S ribosomal RNA". It matches the Rfam family "Bacterial small subunit ribosomal RNA", at positions 524 to 776 of the family's 1533-position model. The record is from RNAcentral.
UACGGAGGGGGCUAGCGUUGUUCGGAAUUACUGGGCGUAAAGCGCACGUAGGCGGCUUUGUAAGUUAGAGGUGAAAGCCCGGGGCUCAACCCCGGAAUUGCCUUUAAGACUGCGUCGCUUGAACACGGGAGAGGUGAGUGGAAUUCCGAGUGUAGAGGUGAAAUUCGUAGAUAUUCGGAAGAACACCAGUGGCGAAGGCGGCUCACUGGACCGUUGUUGACGCUGAGGUGCGAAAGCGUGGGGAGCAAACAGG